Molecule: ribosomal RNA, 253 nt
Filed under: uncultured bacterium
Lineage: Bacteria
Description: partial 16S ribosomal RNA
Rfam family: Bacterial small subunit ribosomal RNA
Source: RNAcentral
UACGUAGGGGGCUAGCGUUGUCCGGAUUUAUUGGGCGUAAAGAGCGUGUAGGCGGCCAGGUAGGUCUGCUGUGAAAACUCGAGGCUCAACCUCGAGACGUCGGCGGAAACCAUCUGGCUAGAGUCCGGAAGGGGAGAGUGGAAUUCCUGGUGUAGCGGUGAAAUGCGCAGAUAUCAGGAGGAACACCAAUGGCGAAGGCAGCUCGCUGGGACGGUACUGACGCUGAGACGCGAAAGCGUGGGGAGCGAACAGG